RNAcentral lists this transfer RNA (86 nucleotides) under Schizosaccharomyces pombe (fission yeast). Its description in RNAcentral is "tRNA Tyrosine (gua), mitochondrial". It matches the Rfam family "tRNA". From Rfam's summary of the family: Transfer RNA (tRNA) molecules are approximately 80 nucleotides in length. Their secondary structure includes four short double-helical elements and three loops (D, anti-codon, and T loops). Further hydrogen bonds mediate the characteristic L-shaped molecular structure. tRNAs have two regions of fundamental functional importance: the anti-codon, which is responsible for specific mRNA codon recognition, and the 3' end, to which the tRNAs corresponding amino acid is attached (by aminoacyl-tRNA synthetases). tRNAs cope with the degeneracy of the genetic code in two manners: having more than one tRNA (with a specific anti-codon) for a particular amino acid; and 'wobble' base-pairing, i.e. permitting non-standard base-pairing at the 3rd anti-codon position. Lineage: Eukaryota; Fungi; Ascomycota; Schizosaccharomycetes; Schizosaccharomycetales; Schizosaccharomycetaceae. The record is from RNAcentral.
GGGGAGAAUUCUUAUGUUGGUUUUAAGAGGUGAGUUGUAGCCUCAUUAGGUCAAUCCUAUCGCAGGUUCGAUUCCUGCUCUCCUCA